GAACGCUGGCGGCGUGCCUAAUACAUGCAAGUCGAACGCACAGCGAAAGGUGCUUGCACCUUUCAAGUGAGUGGCGAACGGGUGAGUAACACGUGGACAACCUGCCUCAAGGCUGGGGAUAACAUUUGGAAACAGAUGCUAAUACCGAAUAAAACUUAGUGUCGCAUGACACAAAGUUAAAAGGCGCUUCGGCGUCACCUAGAGAUGGAUCCGCGGUGCAUUAGUUAGUUGGUGGGGUAAAGGCCUACCAAGACAAUGAUGCAUAGCCGAGUUGAGAGACUGAUCGGCCACAUUGGGACUGAGACACGGCCCAAACUCCUACGGGAGGCUGCAGUAGGGAAUCUUCCACAAUGGGCGAAAGCCUGAUGGAGCAACGCCGCGUGUGUGAUGAAGGCUUUCGGGUCGUAAAGCACUGUUGUAUGGGAAGAACAGCUAGAAUAGGAAAUGAUUUUAGUUUGACGGUAACCAUACCAGAAAGGGACGGCUAAAUACGUGCCAGCAGCCGCGGUAAUACGUAUGUCCCGAGCGUUAUCCGGAUUUAUUGGGCGUAAAGCGAGCGCAGACGGUUUAUUAAGUCUGAUGUGAAAGCCCGGAGCUCAACUCCGGAAUGGCAUUGGAAACUGGUUAACUUGAGUGCAGUAGAGGUAAGUGGAACUCCAUGUGUAGCGGUGGAAUGCGUAGAUAUAUGGAAGAACACCAGUGGCGAAGGCGGCUUACUGGACUGCAACUGACGUUGAGGCUCGAAAGUGUGGGUAGCAAACAGGAUUAGAUACCCUGGUAGUCCACACCGUAAACGAUGAACACUAGGUGUUAGGAGGUUUCCGCCUCUUAGUGCCGAAGCUAACGCAUUAAGUGUUCCGCCUGGGGAGUACGACCGCAAGGUUGAAACUCAAAGGAAUUGACGGGGACCCGCACAAGCGGUGGAGCAUGUGGUUUAAUUCGAAGCAACGCGAAGAACCUUACCAGGUCUUGACAUCCUUUGAAGCUUUUAGAGAUAGAAGUGUUCUCUUCGGAGACAAAGUGACAGGUGGUGCAUGGUCGUCGUCAGCUCGUGUCGUGAGAUGUUGGGUUAAGUCCCGCAACGAGCGCAACCCUUAUUGUUAGUUGCCAGCAUUCAGAUGGGCACUCUAGCGAGACUGCCGGUGACAAACCGGAGGAAGGCGGGGACGACGUCAGAUCAUCAUGCCCCUUAUGACCUGGGCUACACACGUGCUACAAUGGCGUAUACAACGAGUUGCCAACCCGCGAGGGUGAGCUAAUCUCUUAAAGUACGUCUCAGUUCGGAUUGUAGUCUGCAACUCGACUACAUGAAGUCGGAAUCGCUAGUAAUCGCGGAUCAGCACGCCGCGGUGAAUACGUUCCCGGGUCUUGUACACACCGCCCGUCACACCAUGGGAGUUUGUAAUGCCCAAAGCCGGUGGCCUAACCUUUUAGGAAGGAGCCGUCUAAGGCAGGAC
This 1457-nucleotide ribosomal RNA is filed under the name Leuconostoc mesenteroides subsp. mesenteroides. RNAcentral's name for it is "16S ribosomal RNA". It matches the Rfam family "Bacterial small subunit ribosomal RNA". The record is from RNAcentral. Lineage: Bacteria; Bacillati; Bacillota; Bacilli; Lactobacillales; Lactobacillaceae.